Molecule: non-coding RNA, 733 nt
Organism: Lolium perenne
Lineage: Eukaryota; Viridiplantae; Streptophyta; Magnoliopsida; Poales; Poaceae
Source: RefSeq, a predicted model, not a curated record
UGCCAUUGGCCAGCAUGUAGUUCCAGUACCUUAUGGUUGAGGAAAAGUUAUAUAGAGAUCUAUCCAGAUAUGCUGCCACUGCAAAUGCUCAUGUGCAAAAUUUACUCUCUUUCGCAUUGCACUAUCAUCAUUGUCACUCCAUGAGUAUCCAGGUGCUAAUGUGGAUAUACAUUUCAUUCCAAAAACUCAGAGGGCUGAUUCAAUUCCAAACAUGCAGUCAAUUAUUGCUGCUUUAGAUGGGGAAAUGGUGGCUCAUGGAGAUCUGGGUGUUGAACUUCCGGUUGAGGAAGUACCUUUACUACAGGGUGUUGUAAAGAAUAUCAUCCCAGCCAUGCAAUUAUUUCUGCUGCUUGUGCAUUGGAAGCUUUAAAGCUCGUCUCUGGCUGCAGCAGAAGUGUGUCAAAUUAUCUCACGUUGCCUCUGGGAGCCGCAUACAGUCGGUUCGGGUGUAUUUACCUGUAGUAUGCAUGGCAGUUGCAGCAGCUUGCCAAUUAGUACCCACCAAAGAUUUGGCGGUCCAUCUUCUCCGAGCAAAGCAUAGGCCACGGAUCCGCUACUCAGCUCUAAUUUUGUAGCAGCCUGACAGUUGGCGAGAGAACAGUUCGGGACGGGGCUACCUUACCGGAGAUCUUGACGGUUUGGAGUUAGAAUGCCAAAUCCUAAUUUUCUAUUUAACCCCUUUGCCUUAUUUAUAUGUAUUUUAUAGCUUAGACAGCAUCACAGUAGAACUAAA